AAUAUCGAAACGUACAUUUGAAAUUACAAAUUUUACCCCUAGUUCGUUAUUUUACGUGUAGUUUUGUGUUGUGUGGUGUUGUAGGACCACACACACACUCAUACACCCCGUUUCACUCUCCCGUGUUUUCCUCUCCCUCUGUCUCUUUUCUGUCACUUCUCUCUCUCUCUCUCCCAAGCUCCGUUCUUCCUCCUUCUUUCUUCAAAAACGUACGGACAACACACAAAUCACCCAAACCUUGAUGGAUCGAAGAAACUAAGGACACCAUCGAACUCGUGAAGCUCGUACGAGUGCAACCAUACCAUUUUCAGCUUGUAGAUGUGUUAGUGAGGUCCCAAGGAGCCUCGGAGUACUUCGUUGGAGAAGUUUGGACGUCGGGAUCGUCGUGUUCAAAGUUGGCCGGAGCUGUCGGGGCUUUUUCCGGCGAAACCACGGCGAGUUAGGGGUCGAGACAGAAAUUCCGGCAAAACACUAUUUCCGGCGAAACCAGUCCGGCGACGCGAG
Molecule: long non-coding RNA, 504 nt
Organism: Pyrus x bretschneideri (Chinese white pear)
Lineage: Eukaryota; Viridiplantae; Streptophyta; Magnoliopsida; Rosales; Rosaceae
Exons: 3
Source: RefSeq, a predicted model, not a curated record